UUACGCUCGAUACUUCGGCCGAAGAUUCCAGAAUCAUAUCUUAGAGUAUCCAUCCUCUCUUAACGAGGAUUAGAGAUUCCUUGUUGCGCAUUCACUUGCCUUCAUGACUAAGUGGCUUAACCCCGACUAUGCCGUGGACACCCGCGGAUGAAGUGACUUUGACAUAAUCAAAGAUCAAGUACUUAACCACAAGACAACGAUGAUGCCUCAGGUCAAAGGACUAGUUACAUUAUUCCAACUAUUAGAGUUACUUGCUUGACAUAUGAGUAGACCUCCAUGCAAGUACUCUCGUUCGAUUGUGUUCAGUGAACUCAUUCCCUUAAUGAGCACCUACAUACUUGUCUUAGUGUCACUACACGAAUGGGAUGAGACUUUCCAUCCUUCUAAUUGAAGCGGACAUAGUAUGUACCGGUCUAUGCAUUGUCAGUAUCCCUCCGACAAUCCUAUGACCAGGAACCUUUUGGACAUGAUGGUUAUGUGAAGAAGGUCUCUAUAGUCUAACUUCAUUAUAUUACUUCUUCAAUCGAUCCAUUGUCCAUGGAUUCACCAUUUAGGACAUAUAUCGUUUAUAGAGAUAGUCCUAAAUAGUAUCUUUGCCAUUUGAUGUAUAAGAUUCAUCUACACAUCCAUUUAUUAUCCUGAAAGGUUUCUUCCAAAGAUUGACUUUCAGGGCACAUUUCCAACAUUCUCCACCUCUUCUGAUUAGCUUGGGUAACCAUGACAUACUGCUAGGUGUCACUCAUGGUUUGUG
Molecule: long non-coding RNA, 751 nt
Filed under: Malus domestica (apple)
Lineage: Eukaryota; Viridiplantae; Streptophyta; Magnoliopsida; Rosales; Rosaceae
Description: long non-coding RNA (MDOM_LNC005744)
Source: RNAcentral